Mya arenaria is the source of this 1842-nucleotide long non-coding RNA. RefSeq lists it as uncharacterized. Lineage: Eukaryota; Metazoa; Mollusca; Bivalvia; Myida; Myidae. The record is from RefSeq and is a predicted model, not a curated record. The transcript has 3 exons.
ACUUGAAAUGCCAACCUCUGUAAAUAGUAAUUUAUUUUGAGUAAACAUUGAGUGAUAUAUAAAGCCAUAGAAUACAUUCAUGCCACUCAAAUUCAGCCACUCAGAAUGAUGGGAAGGAUUGCAGAACUGAGUUUCACCUGACUGAUGCAGAUUCAGUAAUCUAUUGUAUGUACUUUUUGUCAAAUUGCUCUAUUAAAAAUAUAAUGUUGACCUUUUUGAGGAAUAAUUUGGAAAGGAAAAAUAAAUUAUUAUAAAGAAAAAGUAAUUUGCUAUGUACAAAAAGUGGACAAAAAUGUUGAACAGUAUGAAGUUUUAAAUUAGAAAAUCCUUACUUCUCUAUGUAUGUAUUUCAACUUAAUUAAGAUAAUAGCUGGUAAUAUAAUGUAUUCCCUUAAUUAAUUGAUUUGUGAUAAAACCUUUUUACUCUGCAUGUAUAUAUCUGUAUAUGUAUGUUGCCAUAUAAACUAUAUGCAUGUAGUUUCUUUUGUGUACAUGUGUAUUGAAAUCAACACAUUCCUUUGUUAUAUAUUCAGGCUCAUGAUGGUUUCUGAGAAAAAAAUCAGCUUGGUGUAAUUUGACAGUAUUUUUCCAGUAUUUGACAGUGGUUCUAUCAUGCAACAGUCAUGCCAUGAAGUGUCUCACAGAUUCUCUCUCAAUUCCUGCAAUAUCCAAGAUUACCUGGUACAGCGAGAACAGUUCCUGCAUUUUUGAGUGAUUAUAGAGUGAAAAUGUUUCCAUAUAAAAUGUUGUCUUUUAAUGUGUAAAACUUCACAUGUUAUGAAUGGUUACAAAUACAUGCAUGGCCAUUUUGAUUCCAAAUCUAUGCACAUUUUGAAACCAAUAAUUAUUCACAAAAGUACUUUAAAUUUGGUUUGAAACUGAAAUAUUGUCCUUUUGUUUGUUUCUAAACAGUAUUAAAGUGGUAUUAUUCAUGUUUAUAGUUAAAAAAAAGUCAGUUCUUUUUAAGAUGUACUCUUACUCUCACAUAAGAUUUACCACAAUUAAUACUUACUUACUACUGUUUUAUUAUUCCAAAAGAGAUGAAUAAAUGUCGAAAACAAUGGUUCUAAUGAAGGAUAGUAGAUCACAGUAAAUCUUUAAGCAUUCACCAAUCAUUUAAUAUUUUUGCAUUGUCAGCUAUUAAAUACACCGUUACAAUCUUGUUAUCAGUACUAAAUAUUUUCCAUAAAUGAAUUGUUAAGUAAGAAGUUAACAGUCAAAGUAUAUGUUUGUUAUACAUGUGUAUGCAUUGAUAUUGAAUAAGUGUGUUACUUUAAACAGUUGCCAUGGUAACUAGACUCUAGUUUUCUAAGGAAACUGUAAUUGUUGUCUAAAAACCUUAGUAUUUUCAAUGUGAUACUUUUUUAACAUGUCCGCUUCAGUCAAUGAAAUAUUUCUGUUAUUAUUUAUUCUUUUGGUCAUACUUUGUAUACAAUUAUAUUUAUAAUUUAACCUUAAAAAUUGCUGACAAUCUCAUACUUAUAUUAAAAUAUUCAGAACUGCUAGAUGGUUUUAAGUUCACCUUUUUUACAAUUGUCAGGCAAAUCAAUGCAAGAUAUACAUAAUCCUUCUUUUUAACAAAAAGCGAUGUUUCUUGGCAUUUUUUUGUAUUUUUAUUGAAUGGUUACCAUGGCAACUAAUUUUUUGUUUGCCUUUAAUUUUCCUAUUUAUAAUACUAUUAAUUGUAAAAAUGCAACAGUCAAGCAGUGAAUGGAAGAAAGUAAAUGUUCUUUGACUUUUACCUUAUUGCUAGCUCAUUCUUCAAAAUAUACAGCAUUUUUUAAAUUUCUUAAAAAUAGACGUUUUUUCAUCAUUUUUUUUAACGUGAAAUAAUUUGCUUAA